Molecule: RNA transcript, 2466 nt
Organism: Cottoperca gobio
Lineage: Eukaryota; Metazoa; Chordata; Actinopteri; Perciformes; Bovichtidae
Gene: st3gal3b
Gene name: ST3 beta-galactoside alpha-2,3-sialyltransferase 3b
Exons: 14
Source: RefSeq, a predicted model, not a curated record
UGGAGAUAUACCUCAUGUGACUGUCGCUGACUAACUGUGUUGCUGUAGUCGACCAGUAAGCUGCGGCUGCUGCUGCCGCUGGUCAUGUACAUGUUGAUGGUGGGGGUGCUUUUUCCUUCUGCCAAUCUUGAUGUGAACUAGAACUGGUGACACAGAUAGGGAAACACACAGUCAGACUGGUCGUCUUGUGCUUACAGAGCCAGGGCACUUUCACGGAUUUCAUCACGAUGGCUUGGAGAGGAGGGAGAACACGGCCGUUUUAUCGACCAACCCAUUAUUUAAACUAACGGCUGGUAUUGUUUCUGACACGAGGACUCAGAAGAAAAUAAAAGGUAAUGACCUGGAUGGUGCCAUGUGAAUGACUGAAGACCAUGAAGCCCACACACAAGCUGCUGUUCGUCCUGUGCCCCAUGCUGGUCCUGGGCUUUAUUUACUACUCCUCCGGGAAGCUACAUCUACACGUAUGGGGCCAGAAGCCUCAGAGUGAUGCAGAAGAGACAACUGUAGUCCUGACUAAAGGGGCUGAAGUGAAAAGAAUUCCAGAGUUGGAAACGGACAUCACCGUGGGACGAAUAGUAGGCUCAGUGUAUGAUAAGCAGGGCUUUCUGCUGCAGCUGGACACAAAACUGCCACCAGAGUUGGCAUACAAGUAUGGCAACCUCAGCGAAGGAGUGUGCAAGCCGGGAUAUGCAGCAGCCAAGAUGACUGCCAUCUAUCCUAAAUUCAUGAAACCAGCACCCAUGUUUCUUGAUCGGAACUUCAAACGUCUUGCAAAAGUCAGCAAUUACUUGCCUCCAUUUGGAUUCAAAACACAAGAGAGAAUCAUAGACAGCAUUUUAACUGCCACGAAAAAUUAUGGACUUGGAGAGGAGCUGGACAGUCUCAGCUGUAAGAGAUGCAUCAUUGUGGGCAACGGGGGAAUCCUGUUCAACAAGUCUCUGGGCUCCCGUAUAGAUGACUAUGAUGUCGUCGUGAGACUGAAUGAAGCCCCAGUAAGCGGUUAUGGCAAAGACGUGGGGACAAAAACCACCAUUAGGAUUACCUAUCCAGAGGGAGCAAUCCAGAAACCUGACAACUAUGAAAAAGACUCACUUUUUGUUUUUUCCGCUUUCAAACCGCUGGAUUUCAAGUGGCUCAGACAGAUGGUCUUCAAGGAGAAACUGAGAGGUACAGAGGGUUUUUGGAAGUCGGUGGCUCACUAUGUGCCUCGGGAGCCGACGGAGAUGAGAAUCCUCAAUCCCUACUUCAUCCAGGAGGCUGCCUUCCAGUUCAUAGGCCUGCCCUUCAACAAUGGCCUCAUGGGCAAAGGGAACAUUCCAACUUUGGGAACAGUUGCUAUAACUAUGGCACUGCAUAACUGCGAUGAGGUGGCAGUGGCUGGUUUUGGGUAUGACAUGAACAAGCCCCAUGCACCGCUGCACUAUUACGAGACUGUCAAGAUGUCCGCCAUUAAAGAGUGCACAUUUGUACGUUAUCAAGGCGAUCGGGUGUGACAUUCUCUCCAUGCUAAUGAGAACAAUGUUUUCUGGCUUCUCCCUGGCCACUGAAGAAUAACUGAAGAAACAAAUGACUGUAAUCUUUGAUGAGGAGGGACCGCCACUCCUGUGGAGGAGCGGUGAACUGGCCUACAGCCAAAAUACAUUCACUACAAGGCCUUCACCGUUUAGUCUGAUGUGGUAGGAGGUCCGACCCAGACAGGCCUAGUAAGGGAGGACAGACCAGAGGCAGCUGCAGGGCCCAACCUCCUGAAGCGCUCCACUUUUUUUUCUUCCUCCUAUUCCCUCCUGUAUGUUUCGUCCUCCACCCUUUUCCUCCUUCAUUUGCUCUCUGGCCGUUCCUUAGUCUCUGCAUCCCAAAGCACCACACAGGAACCACCGGCUCUGAUUACAUGUCGGCCCACCGGACUGGACCCUCACAGCACAGCAGGGAGGAAAGCUGACCCAGUGUGGCUUUGCUCGUAUAUAUGCACACCCACACGUAUAGACCCUGGGAAUAGGAAAACCCUACACUAACCCACAGGUUUCAGUGCAUAUAGCAAUGCUUUUGGAAUAAAUGCUCUUAAAUGUUGAAGUAUUCUCACAAUGAUCACAGGUUAUUGUUUGCAUCACUCUGGAUUUGUUUUUAUUUCUGAUUCUCCCACAGUCAUGGACACACAACAUAUCCAAGGAGAAGGAGUUCCUGCGCAAGCUGGUGAGGGCCAGCAUCAUCACAGACCUGACCAACGGUAUCUGAGUUUACAGCCACCCACAGUCUCCUUUUGCCUUUCCCAAAGGACUACAAAACAGGAAACUGAGAAAUGGACGACUCUGGGAGAAAGAACCUUUAGAAUCCGGGUUGCUUGCUCACUGUCUGGGUUUUUCAUAUCAAAGGAGAUUAUUUAAAUUAAAAAAAAAAAGAAGAAAAUAAAGGAAACAGAUACAGGAGGGUUUCUGUGGAGAGAUGCACACAUGUGCCUUCUGAACCAAA